CUAGCAUUUUGCGAGACCAGGGCUGGACAACAUGGUAAAAUUCCAUCUCUACAAAAAUACAAAAAAUUCGCUGGACAUGGUGGCACAUGCCUGUAAUCCCAGCUCCUCAGGAAGCUGAGGCAGGAGAAUCGCCUGAACCUGGGAGGCAGAGGUUGCAGUGAGCUGAGAAUACACCACUGAACUCCAGCCUAGGCAACAGAAUGAGUUUCUGUCUCGAAAAAAUAGAGAAUAAAUCUAGUCAUGGAAGGGAAAAGACUUGUACACUGAAAACUACAAAACAGUGCUCAAAUACAUUUUUAAAAACCUGAAAAAAUGUAGUUAUGAUGUUAAGAUGGUUCUAUUCCCCAAUUUGAUGUACAGAUUCAACACAAUCCUUAUCAAAUCCUACCUUCCCUUUUUGCUGCAGAAAUUGACAAGGUAAUCCUACAAUAUAUAUGUCAAUUUAAGGGACCCAACUGCCAAAACAAUUGGGAAGAAGAAAAUAUUGGAGGAUUCACACUUCCCAAUUUUAAAAAUUACUACAGAAACACUUCCGGUGCGGAAAAAUGGCAGCCGUUGUUCCGGACUCACGUGUGAGUGCAGAGGAAAAUCUGAGAAAGACCCCAAAGAAGAUGAUGAAAAUGGCAACCGGAGCCGUAGCGUCGGUGCUGGAAGAGGAGGGCACAGACACUUCCAAUAGUGAAGGUUCUAUAGUAGGAGGAUCUAUAAUAGGAAGCUGUGGAUCAGAAUAUGACUACUUUUAUUCUGAUGAGGAAGCAGUAGAAGCCGACAAUAAGGGUGAUGCUGAGCCCUGUGACGAAGAAAAUGAAGAUGACGCAGAAUCAAAUAUUCGGACCAAUACAGGCUGGGUAGAUGCCAUGGCUAAAGUCCUCAACAAGCAAACUCCUGAAAGUAAACCUACUAUUCUGGUAAAAAAAAUAAGAAGCUGGAAAAGGAAAAAGAAAAGUUAAAGCAAGAAAGACAAGAGAAAAUAAAACAGCGUGAUAAGAGGAUGGAGUGGGAAAUGAUGUGCAGAGUAAAGCCAGAUGUUGUCCAAGACAAGGAGACAGAGAUCUUCAGAGAAUUGCAACGAGGAGUGUGGUGCAAUUAUUUAAUGCUGUUCAGAAACAUCAAAAGAACGUUGAUGAGAAGGUUAAAGAAUCUGGAAGCUUUAUUAGAAAACGAACUAAGUUGAUAUCAACUGUUUCCAAGAAAGAUUUUAUCAGUGUUUUGAGAGGAAUGGAUGAAAAUACAAAUGAGACUACCUCAAGCAAGAAGAAACCAAAAGCCAAACAGACUGAAGUGAAAUCAGAAGAGGGCCUAGGUUGGACAAUCCUACAUGAUGAUUUCAUGAUGGGAGCAUCUAUGAAAGACUGGGACAAGGAAAGUGAUGGGCCAGAUGACAGCAGACCAGAAUCUGCAAGUGACUCUGAUACAUAAAGCACCAUAGGAAAUAAAAUAAUUUUAUUUUUUCUAGAAAAAUAUUUCAUCCCCUGAUAAUUGGGGGAUUAUAAGGAUACCAAGAGUCAAAAGACUUUUGCCUGAUUUCAUAUUUCCCCUUUUCAUGUACACUUUAUAUAUACUUUAUUAAAAUUAUAUUUUAAACCCU
Callithrix jacchus (white-tufted-ear marmoset) is the source of this 1588-nucleotide non-coding RNA. NCBI's taxonomy places the organism in Eukaryota, Metazoa, Chordata, Mammalia, Primates, Cebidae. The record is from RefSeq and is a predicted model, not a curated record.